AAUCUAGGAUGGAGCAAGCACUGCUGGCCCACCAUGUCUGUGAGAGAACCUAAAGGCGCCUCCAGGAGGAAGCAUCUGCAUCUUUUCCUUGUUUUUUGUUUUUUUUUUUUUUGGAGGCAGGGUCUCGCUCUGUCACCCAGUGGGGAGUGCAGUGGUGCCAUGAACGCUCAUUGCAGCCUCAGGCUGGUCUCCGACUCCUGGGUUCAAAUGAUCCUCCUGUCCCAGCCUCCCAAAAUGCUGGAAUUACAGGCAUGAGUCACUGCGUCCGGCUGCUUUUCCAUUUUUCAUCGUAGCUAAUAUCCAGUACAACAUUGAACAGAACCAACUAGAACAUCCAGUGCAACGUUGAACAGUAUUAGCCAGAACAUCCAGUACAACGUUGAACAGAACCAACUAGAACAUCCAGUACAACGUGGAACAGAACCAGCUAGAACAUCCAGUACAAUGUGGAACAGAACCGGCUAGAAUAUCCAGUGCAACGUGGAUCAGAACCGGCUAGAACAUCCAGUGCAACGUGGAACAGAACCGGCUAGAACAUCCAGUGCAACUUUGAACAGAAGUGUUGAAAGCAGACACCCUUGCUUGUUUCCUAUUAUAGGGGAAAAACACUCAGUCUUUCACCGUUCUGUAGGAUGUUAGCUAGGGUUUUUUUAAAAUGCCCGUUAUCAAGUUGAGGAAAUUCCCUUUUAUUCCUAGAUUGUUGAGAGUUUUUGCCAUGAAUAGACG
RNAcentral lists this long non-coding RNA (726 nucleotides) under Pan troglodytes (chimpanzee). Its description in RNAcentral is "long non-coding RNA NONPTRT003769". Lineage: Eukaryota; Metazoa; Chordata; Mammalia; Primates; Hominidae. The record is from RNAcentral.